Molecule: ribosomal RNA, 468 nt
Filed under: uncultured bacterium
Lineage: Bacteria
Description: partial 16S ribosomal RNA
Rfam family: Bacterial small subunit ribosomal RNA
Source: RNAcentral
GACGAACGCUGGCGGCGUGCUUAACACAUGCAAGUCGAACGGAAAGGCCCUGCUUUUGUGGGGUGCUCGAGUGGCGAACGGGUGAGUAACAUGUGAGUAACCUGCCCUUGACUUUGGGAUAACUUCAGGAAACUGGGGCUAAUACCGGAUAGGAGCUCCUGCUGCAUGGUGGGGGUUGGAAAGUUUCGGCGGUUGGGGAUGGACUCGCGGCUUAUCAGCUUGUUGGUGGAGUAGUGGCUUACCAAGGCUUUGACGGGUAGCCGGCCUGAGAGGGUGACCGGCGACAUUGGGACUGAGAUACGGCCCAGAGUCCUACGGGAGGCAGCAGUGGGGAAUAUUGCACAAUGGGCGGAAGCCUGAUGCAGCAACGCCGCGUGCGGGAUGACGGCCUUCGGGUUGUAAACCGCUUUCGCCUGUGACGAAGCGUGAGUGACGGUAAUGGGUAAAGAAGCACCGGCUAACUACGUG